GAGCUUUCGCUACCAGCGACCGGUGCGUGCGGGCGGCUCCCGGCGCGGUGGCUGAUUCUGGAAGGAUUUUGAGCCGAUCGUCUGCAGAGUUGUGCCGCUGCCUGUCUGUCGGCUGCAGGGCUGCCGGAGAGGGGCCGGUCCUCGCUACCAAUCCAAUGUCCGACCGACCUAUCGCUGGACACUCUGGACGACCACAGCUCAUGUGCGGCAGUACGAGCGCCGCCGUUGGCACCGAGAUAAAAGUCCAUCUGCCGGUCAAAACUGAACUGCGGCCAACGGAAACUCCAGUUCUCUCACAGGACGCCUGGGAGUUCGCGAGUUGGGGACACUACUCCAGCAUACCGACCGACCGAUGGACGUCACUUCAAGGGAUCACGUCACAAACUUGACCCGUGUUUGGCGGCAGUGUCUGGUCGGUGUCGGGGCGGUCUCCCGGUGCUGAGUCCCGGCCGUCGGCUGCAUUGUUGACCCAAGAUGCCGGUCCGUGGUCCGAAAUCCGGCCACCUCGGACCUGACGCCGUACAGACUCCGAACGGUGCGGCAGUGCAGGAGGGAGUGUGGCGCCGGUAUACAGCUGACACCAGACAUCCGUCCAUCGGCCUCGUACCUGGUCAAAGGUUCACCUCACCAGAGCGAUAGACGUCGGCCCUGCUCCAACACACCACCGGGACCCAUCACAGGUUUCGGCUUACCAGGUCGUUUGCAUGCGAAGGACUUCAAACAAGGAGCACCAAGAGUCGGAGAGCAGAAGAACCUCGUCCAAAGGGGGGGGGGAGGGGUAAUCGGGGAAGGAGGCAUGCGUGCAUGCCUUCUCUCCUGAUUACCCCCUCCCUACCACGUAUAGGGGAGGGGGUGAUUAGGGGGAGGUAGGUGAGCCUGGCCUCUCUCCUGAUUAUCCCCUCCCCUACCACGUGUAGGGGGGGGGGUGAUCAGGGGGAGGUAGGUGAGCCUGCCCUCUCCUGAUUAUCCCCUCCCCUACCACGUGUAGGGGGGGGGGUGAUCAGGGGGAGGAAGGUGAACCUGCCCUCCCCUGAUUCUCCCUUCCCCCGCCGUGUAAAGGGGGAGGGCAGGCACACCUACACCCUCCCCCCGAUUGCCCCCUACCCUAUGUGUAGGGGGCAAUCGGGGGGGGGGGGGGGGUAGGUAGGUGGGCCUGCUUUCUUCCCCGAUUGCCCCCUCCCCAGCAAUGGGGGGGGGGAGUAAUCGGGGAAGGAGGCGGGCGUGCCUUCCCUCCCUGCCAUGUGUGUGAAAGGGGGGGGGGUAAAUCCCCUCACCUGCCGUGUAUGUGGGGGGGGGGGGGGUAAGUGAACAUCAGAAGAAAAAUACAUGCUGGACUCUC
Molecule: long non-coding RNA, 1339 nt
Organism: Amphibalanus amphitrite
Lineage: Eukaryota; Metazoa; Arthropoda; Thecostraca; Balanomorpha; Balanidae
Exons: 8
Source: RefSeq, a predicted model, not a curated record